This 1670-nucleotide long non-coding RNA is filed under the name Homo sapiens (human). Its description in RNAcentral is "HSALNT0079488". The record is from RNAcentral. Lineage: Eukaryota; Metazoa; Chordata; Mammalia; Primates; Hominidae.
GUCCGUGUGAAUGAAACGAAAGGGGGGGUCUUCCGGCUCGCAGACACCGGGUCUGCGGCGGCCGCGCGCUCCCAACCCACCCGGAGCCUCCGCCGCGACAUCUUCCCACGUCCCCCAUCCAGGUCGCAGGCGCGGGGGAAAAGCCUCACGGCCGCACUGCGGCUCUGCCAAAAGGGAGCCGGGUCGAGCCGCUGAGAAAAACAGAGGGGAGACUCCUGGCGUUUGAAACCGGUCAGAACCCGCUCUCCAAGAGCUGGGGACACCCCUUGUUUGGAGGCUGAUCCCCAGCCCACCCGCUUCCUCCCCCUCCCCACACUCCUGCAGGCGCGGGGCGCAACUUGCAAUCCGAACUUCGCGCGGCCGGAGCAAGUUUGUCGGGGCGAGAAGCGCCUGGUCCUCGGUCCGCACCACCGCACUAGGUCCCCGCCACCGCCCCACCACUGUGUCAGGGGCCAGGCGUGGCCCCCGGCUGGCUAGGGAACCGAGCGCGGCGCCGCGGCUGCGCAUUCCGUGCGGGACGCCGCUGUCUCCCAAGGGUCGGGAUAAACUAGGGGGCGGUUGAUCUGAAAGUCUUAGCCACGACUAAUAGUCAACCGCCCAGGUGCGACCCGCAGCAGCCUUGGCGAUGCAGCUCGUUCUCCAGACGCGGGUCCACACCGGCGCGUCCUCGCCUCCAGGGACCGAUCGCUGUUCUCCGUGGCCGGAUAACCGACCAAGACGUUUCCAGCCUAAUGCCUGACGCCUUUUGCUUCCUCCAUCCUGGUCCUCAGUCCCUGAACUCCCAGGACAGAAUUCCUGACCUCCUUGGUCAAGCCUUGGAUCGAGAAAGAGAAACUAUUAGUGUAAACAAACCAAUCAACCCCAAAACCAAAACUGUGCCUGCCAAUAGCCCAUUUCUUGGCCAUUGAUGGUGCAUGAAGAGAAAUGGAUCCAAUUAAGAAAAUCUUAAAAUCUUAAGGAAUAAGAAAAUGUAAUAAAGAGAAAGACAAUGUCAUGCUCAGGGAGCUAAUAUGAAUCCCAAAGGAAUAUUGACUGUUCAGGCUCAAGUUAAAUUACAGCAGAUCGAAAGUGAGGAGUUGAGUGGCAUCUUCUUUUCUCUUACUGUCGACCUUGUUAAAUGGGGAGUCCACACCCCUUGCCUACUCCUCCCUCCUCAACCCCGUGACAGUGGGCCUCCCCCCAACUGUAUUGAGCAUGCACUCUAAAACAGUUACUUUUUGAGAAGUCAAGUCUGGUGACCCAUUCUCAGCCCCUCAUCCCUUUGAUCUCCUUGGCAGCAUCCUACCCUAAGGCCUUCUCUAUGCUUCUCUGGACUUCUCUGCUGACCCUUCUCUUCCUUUGAGGACAGUAACAAGGUUUUUCCAACUCUCGAUCUCCCAGUAUCCCAAAGAAAUACCUUCUGAUUUCAAACUGAACCCAUCCAGAUGUCGUGGGACCUGAAGCUUGUAUAACUCCUGGGGGAACUUCUUAAAGGAAAGCAAUAAAAACUUACAAACAUAAUACUAGACAUGUAUCCUUGGAAGGGCCCAGGGAAAAUGAGGGGCUUGGAAAUUUGAGCUUCAAGGUAUAUCUCCGGGUUUCUCUUCAAUGUCAGGGACUCUUGAAUCCAUAUUAUCGUUGUAAAAUUUCAAGUCCAAAUAAAAAUAUCCAAAAAUCAACUCAUCUUUCCC